Non-coding RNA from Acanthosepion pharaonis, 109 nucleotides. Lineage: Eukaryota; Metazoa; Mollusca; Cephalopoda; Sepiida; Sepiidae. The record is from the annotation of a GenBank genome assembly.
UACGGCCACAUCUCGUUGAAACACCAGUUUUUGUCCGAUCACCGAAGUUAAGCUACGUCGAGAUUGGUCAGUACCUCAAUGGGUAAUCGUUUAAGAAUACCAGGUGCUA